Molecule: small nucleolar RNA, 106 nt
Filed under: Olea europaea subsp. europaea
Lineage: Eukaryota; Viridiplantae; Streptophyta; Magnoliopsida; Lamiales; Oleaceae
Source: RNAcentral
ACAUAAGAUGUGUAGUUGAUGUAAAUAUGGACAUAAAGCAAUACGUUGGCUUUCCGUGGGCAUGCAAGGAGGGUCAGGAUGCCCUCAAAGGAAUCUAUUAAUAUGG